RNAcentral lists this long non-coding RNA (244 nucleotides) under Brassica rapa (field mustard). RNAcentral describes it as "long non-coding RNA (BRAP_LNC005193)". The record is from RNAcentral. Lineage: Eukaryota; Viridiplantae; Streptophyta; Magnoliopsida; Brassicales; Brassicaceae.
UGUAGUUCAACUAAAACAUUAUUUCUUAACGAACCCACUAAGAUUGGUUUUUUAUUCUCGUUUUUUUUUCCUUAUAAUUAUUGAGUCAAAUGUUCUAGUUUUAUCCAAAAUUUUCAAAUUUGUCGGGUAUUAUAUUGUUUUCUUCUGUCAUCAAUUGGAAUUUGAGAAACAUCCAUGUUUCAUUAUCAUGUACUCCAUCGCUAAUCAAGGCCCAAUUCAGAAGCAGUUUAAUCUUCAAUCGUCA